CUUAUGAGUAGAAGCGUUCAGCCGGUUACCUGUCUUUACCGGUGGGUCAUUGCUCAAUGU
RNAcentral lists this non-coding RNA (60 nucleotides) under Mangrovibacter sp. MFB070. Its description in RNAcentral is "Xanthine riboswitch aptamer (NMT1 RNA)". It matches the Rfam family "Xanthine riboswitch aptamer (NMT1 RNA)". From Rfam's summary of the family: Later it was reported as a ncRNA that recognised Xanthine. Lineage: Bacteria; Pseudomonadati; Pseudomonadota; Gammaproteobacteria; Enterobacterales; Enterobacteriaceae. RNAcentral also lists the same sequence under 1 other name. The record is from Rfam by way of RNAcentral.